RNAcentral lists this ribosomal RNA (497 nucleotides) under uncultured bacterium. Its description in RNAcentral is "partial 16S ribosomal RNA". It matches the Rfam family "Bacterial small subunit ribosomal RNA", at positions 28 to 507 of the family's 1533-position model. The record is from RNAcentral.
GAUGAACGCUGGCGGCGUGCCUAAUACAUGCAAGUCGGGCGGACAGGCGCGGAGCUUACUCCGCUGACGUGUGCGGCGGGCGGGUGAGUAACACGUGGAUAACCUCCCUAUAAGACUGGGAUAACUUCGGGAAACCGGAGCUAAUACCGGAGAACAUGCUGAACCGCAUGGGUGAACAGUGAAAGACGGUCUUUCUGUCACGUAUAGAUGCAUCCGCGUCGCAUUAGCUAGUUGGGAGGGUAACGGCUUACCAAGGCAACGAGGCGUAGCCGAACUGAGGGGGUGGUCGGCCGCACGGGAAGGGAGACGCGGUCCAGACUCCUACGGGAGGCAGCAGUAGGGAACCUGACGCAGUGGGCGAAAGCCUGACGGAGCAACGCCGCGUGAGUGAAGAAGGUGUUCGGAUCGUGAAACUCUGUUAUUAGGGAAGAACAAAUGUGUAAGUAACUAUGGCCGUCUUGACGGUACCGAAUCAGAAAGCCACGGCUAACUACGUG